AAUUUUAUAACUUUGAAGGAUUUAUCUUAAUUAAGGCAGUUAUAUUUACGUAAAUUUUAAAUAAUAACUUAGGAGAAUAUGAAAUAAAAGCAAAUAAUGGAAAUUAUUUUAAAUAAACUCAUAUAGCAUUUAGAAGUGGUUAGUGUUGUGAACUGAAAAUUAUAUCCACAUUUAUGAACUUCCUCAACGAUUGCUUUGAACAUAUCCUUACCUCUUGACGGUCAUAACCUCACAAUUAUCGCACACGUUAUCGUUGUUUAAUAAAAUAUUUACACUUUUACUUUUUGGAAUAUGUUUAACAGAAAAAUAAAUGGGUCCGUGACGUCAAGAACGAAAAGAGAGCAAGUGUUUGAUUACAAUUAUUAUGACAAUUUAAUAGUUCGUUCCGUUUAUGCUGUUGUGUGUCGCAAACUUGUCGCUACCAUUCUUCGUUCUAAAAGAGUUUCACAUAAUAAACUCUUAGUGCUCAAAAAUUCAAUAUUUUGGAAUAUUUAAGUUUAUAUAGUUUCUAUUUCGUUAUAAAGAAAAUGCUGCCGCCACAAGGGUUUGCGUCGAUGCUUUUUGCUUUAGUGGAGCCAACAACCAGCAUGAGAAUAAAUACAGAAUUUGUUGGUAGAUGUAGAAGAUCGAAGAAUUUAAUUCAAACUUUUCUUAUAAAUUGGAUAUGGAGGGUACUUCAUAGGUAGUACCAGCGGUUAAACUGAACUUAAUUUUACAACGAAUGUGAAUCUCAUUGUACUGAGUGGGAAGUGGCCCGAACACGAGCCCGAGAACAACUACUCCUUUUCAAUUUACUUCUUUAAAGCUUGCUUGAUAGAACUUAGACGGCCAAAACUCGCCUUCGUUUCAGUUACUAACGUAUCCACUAUGAAAAGGACUAACUCUUAUAAUUACUCGCAGAGAUAUGGUGCUGCCGCUAAUAUGCUCUCGGAACUGUAUGCGUUGAAGACUUCUAAUCCAAAGAAAAUAUAUUGAAACAAUGCAAUUUCAUGUAUAAAGUAUUUAUUUUCCAUAGAUACUAUUCAUGUUAGUUGUAGUUUUGUAUACAUAAAAUUAUAAAUAGACAUUCUUAAUGUGUAAUUUCUUUAAUUUCUUCAAUCUACCUUUUUUGCUAAUCAUAACAAGACAUAGUAGUUCACAUAUACUGUUAUUUAGUAAAAUAAACAAAUAGCUCAUAAGACUUAUUAUUCCAUGUGGGUAUGCCAAUAAGUAUACUCAAGCCGUACACAUGCAAUUUAAAUCACAUCAAUUUAGUUUUUCUUAUGAAUUAUGAAUCUGUAGAUUGCGUUUGUAUGUAGGUGUAUUGGUACUUGUGGUAUUGCGAAUGUAGACACAGAAAGUUUAUAAUAUUAUAAUUGAUAGAGAAUUAAAGUACAUUUAUAUACUGUUAGGAAUCGUGUAUUCGUUUGAGAGAAAUGUGUUUACAAUCAAGUUGUUGAUAUA
Zeugodacus cucurbitae (melon fly) is the source of this 1443-nucleotide long non-coding RNA. RefSeq lists it as uncharacterized. The transcript is spliced from 3 exons. The record is from RefSeq and is a predicted model, not a curated record. NCBI's taxonomy places the organism in Eukaryota, Metazoa, Arthropoda, Insecta, Diptera, Tephritidae.